GAUGAACGCUGGCGGCGUGCCUAAUACAUGCAAGUCGAGCGAACAGACGAGGAGCUUGCUCCUCUGACGUUAGCGGCGGACGGGUGAGUAACACGUGGAUAACCUACCUAUAAGACUGGGAUAACUUCGGGAAACCGGAGCUAAUACCGGAUAAUAUAUUGAACCGCAUGGUUCAAUAGUGAAAGACGGUUUUGCUGUCACUUAUAGAUGGAUCCGCGCCGCAUUAGCUAGUUGGUAAGGUAACGGCUUACCAAGGCAACGAUGCGUAGCCGACCUGAGAGGGUGAUCGGCCACACUGGAACUGAGACACGGUCCAGACUCCUACGGGAGGCAGCAGUAGGGAAUCUUCCGAAAAGGGCGAAAGCCUGACGGAGCAACGCCGCGUGAGUGAUGAAGGUCUUCGGAUCGUAAAACUCUGUUAUUAGGGAAGAACGAAUGUGUAAGUAACUAUGCACGUCUUGACGGUACCUAAUCAGAAAGCCACGGCUAACUACGUG
This 497-nucleotide ribosomal RNA is filed under the name uncultured bacterium. RNAcentral describes it as "partial 16S ribosomal RNA". It matches the Rfam family "Bacterial small subunit ribosomal RNA", at positions 28 to 507 of the family's 1533-position model. The record is from RNAcentral.